This 707-nucleotide ribosomal RNA is filed under the name bacterium. Its description in RNAcentral is "bacterial SSU rRNA". It matches the Rfam family "Bacterial small subunit ribosomal RNA", at positions 56 to 812 of the family's 1533-position model. The record is from RNAcentral.
UGCAGUCGAGCGAACCUUCGGGUUAGCGGCGGACGGGUGAGUAACGCGUGGGAACGUACCCUCUUCUGCGGGAUAGCCACUGGAAACGGUGAGUAAUACCGCAUACGCCCUUUGGGGGAAAGAUUUAUCGGAGGAGGAUCGGCCCGCGUUGGAUUAGGUAGUUGGUGGGGUAAUGGCCUACCAAGCCUACGAUCCAUAGCUGGUUUUAGAGGAUGAUCAGCCACACUGGGACUGAGACACGGCCCAGACUCCUACGGGAGGCAGCAGUGGGGAAUCUUAGACAAUGGGCGCAAGCCUGAUCUAGCCAUGCCGCGUGAGUGACGAAGGCCUUAGGGUCGUAAAGCUCUUUCGCCAGAGAUGAUAAUGACAGUAUCUGGUAAAGAAACCCCGGCUAACUCCGUGCCAGCAGCCGCGGUAAUACGGAGGGGGUUAGCGUUGUUCGGAAUUACUGGGCGUAAAGCGCACGUAGGCGGAUUGGAAAGUUGGGGGUGAAAUCCCAGGGCUCAACCCUGGAACGGCCUCCAAAACUCCCAGUCUAGAGUUCGAGAGAGGUGAGUGGAAUUCCGAGUGUAGAGGUGAAAUUCGUAGAUAUUCGGAGGAACACCAGUGGCGAAGGCGGCUCACUGGCUCGAUACUGACGCUGAGGUGCGAAAGUGUGGGGAGCAAACAGGAUUAGAUACCCUGGUAGUCCACACCGUAAACGAUGA